GAUGACACCCAACAUCAUAAGGGUCGCUCAAAGAGGGAGUCAGAGGGGGCUGCUGUCAAGCCUGCUGGGAACGGAGGAUAACACAGAUGAUUUACAAAGAAGUGCUGCUGCUAUACUCAUUCUGCCUGCACUUUUCAAGGAGAACUCCAAGUUCCUGUACUGCUUAGAUGAGGAACCACCAAGCUCAUUUCCAACCAUAAUAUUCCAUGAUGCCGUGACUCCCCUCCUUGCUGUGAAAGCAUCUAUA
Long non-coding RNA from Alosa sapidissima (American shad), 247 nucleotides. RefSeq lists it as uncharacterized. The record is from RefSeq and is a predicted model, not a curated record. The transcript has 3 exons. NCBI's taxonomy places the organism in Eukaryota, Metazoa, Chordata, Actinopteri, Clupeiformes, Clupeidae.